RNAcentral lists this ribosomal RNA (1150 nucleotides) under Pyramimonas parkeae. Its description in RNAcentral is "partial Bacterial large subunit ribosomal RNA". It matches the Rfam family "Bacterial large subunit ribosomal RNA", at positions 1593 to 2809 of the family's 2925-position model. Lineage: Eukaryota; Viridiplantae; Chlorophyta; Pyramimonadophyceae; Pyramimonadales; Pyramimonadaceae. The record is from RNAcentral.
AAAAGACAUAGACUUACUGGAAAUAAUUUCUUGUGAUUAGACUAUACUUGAAACCGACUCUGGUGAAAAGGCAGGUAAUCUGCUAUGUCGUUUGAGAAAAUCAUUUUGAAGGAACUCGGCAAAUUUACUCUGUAUCUUCGGUAAAAAGAGUACCCUUUAGGGUGUCACUAAAAAGAGGGCUGCGACUAGUUAAUAAAACUACAAAAAAAUGCAAAUUCGUGAGAAGAAGUAUAUUUUUUGACACCUGCCCAGCACUAGAAGUAAACAGGACAUGUGAAAGCAUGAAAUGGAAUCUAUAGUAAACGGCAGACCUAACUCUAAGGUUUCUAAGGUAGCGAAAUUCCUUGACGUCUAAUUAGCGUCCUGCAUGAAUGGUGUAACGAUGGCCCUGCUGUCUCCAAAAUGAGCUCAGCGAAAUUGAAUUCUCCGUGAAGAUGCGGAGUAUCAACAAUCAGACGGUAAGACCCCGUGCAGCUUUACUACAAGUUUCCACUGGUAAAAAAAAAGAAGUGUAUAGCAUAGGUGGAAAAAAUUUAACAAAAUUUUAAAAUUGGAAUACCACUCUCUUCUAUUUUUUUACCUCAUUUUUAAGAUAAUGGAUGCUGGGUAGUUUCACUGGGGCGGUGACCUCCUAAAAAGUAACGGAGGUGUACGAAGGUAAGUUCAGGUUGGUCGGAAAUCAACUAUGGAGUAAAAUGGCAAACACUUGCCUGACUGGAAGACUUACAAGUCAAUCAGAGACGAAAGUCGGUCAUAUUGAUCCGGGAGUUCUGAGUGGAAAGACUCUCGCUCAACGGACAAAGCUACGCCGGGGAUAACAGGCUGAUGAAUUCGGAGAGCCCUUAUCGAUGAAUUCGUUUGGCACCUCGAUGUCGUCUCAUCACAUCCUGGUAGUGCAGAAGCUUCCAAGGGUUCGGCUGUUCGCCGAUUAAAGUGGUACGUGAGAUGGGUUUAGAACGUCGUGAGACAGUUCGGUUCCUAUCUGUUGUUGGAUAUAAAAAAAUAAGCGAUUGUGAUUUCUUGUACGAGAGGACCGAAAUUACUCAACCUAUGGUUUACGAUGGUUAAACUAAAAGCCUUGUCGAAUAGCUACGUUGAAUAUAGAGAACUGCUGAAAGCAUCUAAGCAGGAAACUUUAUUGCUCUAAAUU